Molecule: long non-coding RNA, 1036 nt
Filed under: Chrysemys picta bellii (western painted turtle)
Lineage: Eukaryota; Metazoa; Chordata; Testudines; Emydidae
Description: lncRNA (ENSCPBG00000003536.1)
Source: RNAcentral
AUUCAUAGAAAGGAACAUUACACCUGAUACAGCCCCUAUUCAUUCGAUCGCAGCGGCUUCCCAUCCUGCAAAUCAUCAGUGUCACUGAUCCUGAAGCGAGCUUCUUUUUAUUUAAAUAAUUAAGCGGGGGUGGGGGAGGAGAACUUUACUUCUUCGAUGCAGAUGACCUGCUCUUUAAUUUUAAAAGAGACUUUUAUUUUGCAGCAGUGUUGUUUUUGUUGCCUUGCUAUUGAACUUUGAAAACAGUGUGGAGUGGGAAGGCAAUAAUGAAGUGUCUCCAAGGCUGAAGAUUUAGUUAAGUGUGUGCCUCAAGAUGGCAAGAAGAAAGUUAGUUACUUAGUUAAUUGAGAAUUAUUCAACUUCUGAGAUCGUCACAGAAGCUUGGUGAACUGGGGUGAGGGAAAUUUUCAGUUGUUUUUUGCCAGGACAAGUUAUACUGCAGCUGAAGGAGAGAGUGAUAUAUCAACCAGGUUGUUGUCUGCAACAAGUGAUCUGUGAUGUGGUAAAGAUAACAGCAGUUAGCAGACCAUAGAUCCCACUUGUCUCUUCACGGAGUUCCUACAUUUAUAAGGGAUAUCGAGAGAGGUUAUCAUUCCAGCUGCUUAUCGCAGACCUGCCCUGUGGAUGCAGUGAGAGGAUUUCCCAUUUAGUGUGUAACAACAGGGACCUGGACCUGCAACUGUGCACCCAGUGGUCACCGGGGACAGUAGGAGCUCAAGACCUUCACCGCAUUGGAACCAGGAGACUCCUGGCGUUGGCAAUCACUGGAACCAGGAACAAGAUAAGUGGAUUCAGGUGGAAGAUACCCAGAUCGGUGGGAUAGAUCAGAUAAGAUGGUGAAGGAAGUCCUUGAUGCCCGUGCAAACGUGACAGUCACUAGCGCCUCUCAGAGGGACAGCGUCACUGACAGGGUGUGCAGCCUUUUUAUGCCUUUUGUGUCGCGAAAGUGGAAAUUGACACCAGAGGAGCCCUGAUGGGUAGUUUGAGGGGUUUGUGUGUGUUUCCCCCUUGAUAAAUAGUUUUAAUAAAGUUGAGG